AGAUUGAACGCUGGCGGCAGGCCUAACACAUGCAAGUCGAGCGGCAGCACGGGUACUUGUACCUGGUGGCGAGCGGCGGACGGGUGAGUAAUGCCUAGGAAUCUGCCUGGUAGUGGGGGAUAACGCUCGGAAACGGACGCUAAUACCGCAUACGUCCUACGGGAGAAAGCGGGGGACCUUCGGGCCUCGCGCCAUUAGAUGAGCCUAGGUCGGAUUAGCUAGUUGGUGAGGUAAUGGCUCACCAAGGCGACGAUCCGUAACUGGUCUGAGAGGAUGAUCAGUCACACUGGAACUGAGACACGGUCCAGACUCCUACGGGAGCAGCAGUGGGAAUAUUGGACAAUGGGCGAAAGCCUGAUCCAGCCAUGCCGCGUGUGUGAAGAAGGUCUUCGGAUUGUAAAGCACUUUAAGUUGGAGAAGGUUGUAACCUAAUACGUUGCAACUUUGACGUUACGACAGAAUAAGCACCGGCUAACUCGUGCCAGCAGCCG
Molecule: ribosomal RNA, 491 nt
Filed under: uncultured soil bacterium
Lineage: Bacteria
Description: bacterial SSU rRNA
Rfam family: Bacterial small subunit ribosomal RNA
Source: RNAcentral